Molecule: ribosomal RNA, 473 nt
Filed under: uncultured bacterium
Lineage: Bacteria
Description: bacterial SSU rRNA
Rfam family: Bacterial small subunit ribosomal RNA
Source: RNAcentral
AUUGAGUUUGAUCCUGGCUCAGAACGAACGCUGGCGGCAGGCUUAACACAUGCAAGUCGAGCGCCCCGCAAGGGGAGCGGCAGACGGGUGAGUAACGCGUGGGAAUCUACCCAUCUCUACGGAACAACUCCGGGAAACUGGAGCUAAUACCGUAUACGUCCUAAGGGAGAAAGAUUUAUCGGAGAUGGAUGAGCCCGCGUUGGAUUAGCUAGUUGGUGGGGUAAUGGCCUACCAAGGCGACGAUCCAUAGUUGGUCUGAGAGGAUGAUCAGCCACACUGGGACUGAGACACGGCCCAGACUCCUACGGGAGGCAGCAGUGGGGAAUAUUGGACAAUGGGCGCAAGCCUGAUCCAGCCAUGCCGCGUGAGUGAUGAAGGCCCUAGGGUUGUAAAGCUCUUUCAACGGUGAAGAUAAUGACGGUAACCGUAGAAGAAGCCCCGGCUAACUUCGUGCCAGCAGCCGCGGUAAAAUC